Haliotis rubra (blacklip abalone) is the source of this 1239-nucleotide long non-coding RNA. RefSeq lists it as uncharacterized. The record is from RefSeq and is a predicted model, not a curated record. NCBI's taxonomy places the organism in Eukaryota, Metazoa, Mollusca, Gastropoda, Lepetellida, Haliotidae. The transcript is spliced from 4 exons.
UCUUUCCAACACCUGUCCCGUGGACAAUCUCCUUAUGAUCAUGUAUUACGUCUUACAACAAAACCACAUAAGGAAGUGGUUUGAAGAAAACAGGGCCAAGUUGGAAGUUUGCCAAGUUCUCUUGGAUGUUAGCAGCCUAUUUCAGUCAGGCAACUGGAGAGAAGGCAGGGCAUUAUGGCUGAGGAAAUAUCUUCCUCUGCCCACAACCGACACUUGGAACGUCUGGCGAAGUGAGGUGGAGAAAUUUGUUUGCCACUUUGGAGAGGUGCAAGAAACGGAGGUUUCAUCAUCUUGCUCCAAACGUACUGGCAGAGAUAAAGAUAAUUCUGGGUCAUGUUGCCUUCAUGAAAGCCUGAAGCAGUGGGAAGACACGUUCCCUUCAAUGUGUUCUAUGGAACACCAUACGGACAAUGCAAAUGAGUGAGGACAAGCACACAACGAAAAUUUGUUCAGAAGUGUCCACCGGUCCUUAUUAUGAGCGUCUCUUACUUGAGUCAGUCAAGAGGACUUGUACCAAGUGCGUUACCUGAUUCAGUGGUUGUACAAACAAACAGAUAUGACCUGUUUGCGUACACAGUAGGCACUGGAGAUCACUUCAAGGCUUACCUUCAGAUUAACAACAGCUGGCACAAAUACGACGGCCUCGACAGUCCUGAGGUGUCAGAAGUUCGUAGUCGAGGGGAAGAUGGCCAACUUGAGCAUGCUGUCUACAUUUUAAAAUGAUCAUCCGGCCUUGUUGUGUGUUAACAGACAAUGUGCUACAAUGUGUCUAUGCUUUCUAUGCUGAAUUACACAACUGGUCAGGUGAUGGUGACAUGAGAGCUGAAGGAGGAUAUUUCAUUGCCAUCCGAACUGACAAUGUCUAAUGCUGGUUCACUGAAUGUGUUAGUGUUUGCUGGAAACUGUGAUCGUAGUCUCAAAACUGGAAUUGAUGCAAUGAUUUUAUUUAUCAAAUAGGUGAACAAUGUUUCCCUUUGCUGAUUUGCGCGUAUCAAGACAACCACUUCCACGGUGUACCAAAGUUAGACUAUAGUGCAGAAUAUAUAAGUGUACAUUGUCAGUGAAGAAGUAUUGCCAUUUAGUGUUGUAGUUGUCCAAUCGAUAUAUUUUGUAUUGUGACAUGUGUAACUGUCUGUUUAUUGCAAAUGUACACAAAAAAUCCAAACUGACGAAAGGCCUUUCUCAUGGAAAAUACAGUUUGGGUAACUCACUACUUUUGACUGAAAAGAAUUAUCAUUG